RNAcentral lists this microRNA (21 nucleotides) under Mus musculus (house mouse). RNAcentral's name for it is "mmu-miR-7076-5p". Lineage: Eukaryota; Metazoa; Chordata; Mammalia; Rodentia; Muridae. The record is from miRBase by way of RNAcentral.
AGGGGAGGUGGUAUGGUCUCA